GACGAACGCUGGCGGCGUGCUUAACACAUGCAAGUCGAACGGAAAGGCCCUGCUUUUGUGGGGUGCUCGAGUGGCGAACGGGUGAGUAACACGUGAGUAACCUGCCCUUGACUUUGGGAUAACUUCAGGAAACUGGGGCUAAUACCGGAUAGGAGCUCCUGCUGCAUGGUGGGGGUUGGAAAGUUUCGGCGGUUGGGGAUGGACUCGCGGCUUAUCAGCUUGAUGGUGGGGUAGUGGCUUACCAAGGCUUUGACGGGUAGCCGGCCUGAGAGGGGAACCGGCCCCGAUAGGACUGAGGGAGGGCGCAGUAGCGUAUGGGACGCAGCGGGGGAGAGUAUUACACAGUAGGGCGGAGCCAGAGAUGACAACGCUGCGUGCGGGAAGACGUGCUUCGGGUUGUGAACCACUGUCGCCUGAGACGAGGCGUUAGUGACGGUAAUGGGUAAAGAAGCACCGGCUAACUACGUG
Molecule: ribosomal RNA, 468 nt
Filed under: uncultured bacterium
Lineage: Bacteria
Description: partial 16S ribosomal RNA
Rfam family: Bacterial small subunit ribosomal RNA
Source: RNAcentral